This 24-nucleotide transfer RNA is filed under the name Peroryctes raffrayana (Raffray's bandicoot). Its description in RNAcentral is "partial tRNA-Pro". The record is from RNAcentral. Lineage: Eukaryota; Metazoa; Chordata; Mammalia; Peramelemorphia; Peroryctidae.
UGAGGCGUGUAGUCUUCUUCUUGA